Molecule: long non-coding RNA, 184 nt
Filed under: Phasianus colchicus (ring-necked pheasant)
Lineage: Eukaryota; Metazoa; Chordata; Aves; Galliformes; Phasianidae
Description: lncRNA (ENSPCLG00000018616.1)
Source: RNAcentral
AUUUUACAUGUAUUUGUCUGCUGGAAAGGUUAUCUGUACUGGAGCUGACCUGCAGAGACAAGGUUGAGCCUAGCGGUCUUAAUAGAAAAGGUUUUCAGCUAUGACUGCCGUACUUGAUUGCAUUGUAAUGGGUUCCUGCUUCCCAGGCAAGGAGGAUGCUUGUGGCAGCUGACAAAGGCACGGG